Molecule: ribosomal RNA, 468 nt
Filed under: uncultured bacterium
Lineage: Bacteria
Description: partial 16S ribosomal RNA
Rfam family: Bacterial small subunit ribosomal RNA
Source: RNAcentral
GACGAACGCUGGCGGCGUGCUUAACACAUGCAAGUCGAACGGAAAGGCCCUGCUUUUGUGGGGUGCUCGAGUGGCGAACGGGUGAGUAACACGUGAGUAACCUGCCCUUGACUUUGGUAUAACUUCAGGAAACUGGGGCUAAUACCGGAUAGGAGCUCCUGCUGCAUGGUGGGGGUUGGAAAGUUUCGGCGGUUGGGGAUGGACUCGCGGCUUAUCAGCUUGUUGGUGGGGGAGUGGCUUACCAAGGCUUUGACGGGUAGCCGGCCUGAGAGGGUGACCGGCCACAUUGGAACUGAGAUACGGCCCAGACUCCUACGGGAGGCAGCAGUGGGGAAUAUUGCACAAUGGGCGGAAGCCUGAUGCAGCAACGCCGCGUGCGGGAUGACGGCCUUCGGGGUGUAAACCGCUUUCGCCUGUGACGAAGCGUGAGUGACGGUAAUGGGUAAAGAAGCACCGGCUAACUACGUG